RNAcentral lists this ribosomal RNA (467 nucleotides) under uncultured bacterium. RNAcentral describes it as "partial 16S ribosomal RNA". It matches the Rfam family "Bacterial small subunit ribosomal RNA", at positions 28 to 507 of the family's 1533-position model. The record is from RNAcentral.
GAUGAACGCUGGCGGCGUGCUUAACACAUGCAAGUCGAACGGAAAGGCCCAAGCUUGCUUGGGUACUCGAGUGGCGAACGGGUGAGUAACACGUGGGUGAUCUGCCCUGCACUUCGGGAUAAGCCUGGGAAACUGGGUCUAAUACCGGAUAGGACCACUUCUUGGAUGUUGUGGUGGAAAGUUUUUUCGGUGUGGGAUGAGCUCGCGGCCUAUCAGCUUGUUGGUGGGGUAAUGGCCUACCAAGGCGUCGACGGGUAGCCGGCCUGAGAGGGUGUACGGCCACAUUGGGACUGAGAUACGGCCCAGACUCCUACGGGAGGCAGCAGUGGGGAAUAGUGCACAAUGGGCGCAAGCCUGAUGCAGCGACGCCGCGUGGGGGAUGACGGCCUUCGGGUUGUAAACUCCUUUCGCUAGGGACGAAGCGUUUUGUGACGGUACCUGGAGAAGAAGCACCGGCUAACUACGUG